UACGAAGGGUGCAAGCGUUACUCGGAAUUACUGGGCGUAAAGCGUGCGUAGGCGGUUUGUUAAGUCUGUUGUGAAAGCCCCGGGCUCAACCUGGGAAUGGCAAUGGAAACUGGCGAGCUAGAGUACGGUAGAGGAGAGUGGAAUUCCCGGUGUAGCAGUGAAAUGCGUAGAGAUCGGGAGGAACAUCAGUUGCGAAGGCGGCUCUCUGGACCAGUACUGACGCUGAGGUGCGAAAGCGUGGGGAGCAAACAGG
Molecule: ribosomal RNA, 253 nt
Filed under: uncultured bacterium
Lineage: Bacteria
Description: partial 16S ribosomal RNA
Rfam family: Bacterial small subunit ribosomal RNA
Source: RNAcentral